Molecule: small RNA, 1235 nt
Filed under: Oryza sativa Japonica Group (Japanese rice)
Lineage: Eukaryota; Viridiplantae; Streptophyta; Magnoliopsida; Poales; Poaceae
Description: sRNA Os01g0268201
Source: RNAcentral
CGUGCUUCUUCUAGCGUAAAACGGCCUGAAAGUGCUCACAAGACCGAUGACUGUGAAGACGUUCAGCAUGAAGAAUACCAGGUGGUCGCCUGCAAAAACAGAGAGCAGCAAAAAGACAGAUAAUAAAUACUUACAUAGCUCCUGCAAUUGCUGGAGCAAUAGCUUUAAAGAUGGACAUCAGAGUUACAGCAACACCGUUGGCUGAAGCUCUAACAACUUACCACAGCAUCAUUCAUUAAGAUGUUGAAUACAACGUUUGCACUCACUGCAAAAGCAUUCUUCAGAAAAGAUGCACAGUUAACUAUCAAUUGAAGAAUGGACCCUGACAAUCCGGCCAUAAAUGGAUAGCUAGAAAGAAGUGGUAUAGUCAAUAUCUGCAAUUCAGAACGUGAUGGGCUCUACUGAUUUUGCCACUGACGGGUAAACCAAAAUUUGGAAUACCAGGAGGAAGAGACCUGAUAAUAAGACACUACCCACAUCUUGGGAAGAAAAGCUUAAUCCACCAUACUUCCUGUCGCUGACAGCCCAUAGAGAAAAUACCUGCAAUUUGUCCACAUCCUGAAGAGAGAAUAUGCAGUAUGCAAUGAUAGCAGACAUCAGUGGCCAGUUUGUGAAUAAAUUUAGACAUCCAGCACUAUUUUCUUCAGCAGUUGGACCAGAAAGACCUUCUUCUACAGAAAUUGAAUCCUCUAAAACCAUAUCCUGAGUGUGCUUAUGCAAAGUUUCCUGUAACAUGACGAAGCAAGUAGAGCAACAAUGGCAAGGAGGGAUAUACAUAAGCAGGGGAGAAAAUACGGAAACCUAAAACAUUGCACACUUCUCAGAGAAUAUGCUUGGAUAUUUAUCUGCAGGCUGAUAACCACCAAUAGCUGGUCCCACAAUAAGGCCUAUGCCACGUGAGGAAGAAACCUGACAGAUUAGCCAGCAAUAUCAACCAUGAAGCAUUCUCAUGUGGACACAGGUACCUUAAUUGGGCCAAGUAUACCACACAUCAGACCAAGCAAACCUCUUGAGGUUAAUGCCAUCCAAUAACUUGAGCUGAGUCCAAAGAGUGUAUUGAAAAUAAUUAUUGAAAUAAGGGUAAUUAUAAUAAUCGGCUUCCUCCCGUACUUAUCAGCCACGAUGCCCCAUAUCACAGAGGAGAGUGCUCUUCCAAACAUAUAUGAAGCACCGACAAAACCAGCAUAAAAUCCAAUAUCUUCUUCUUGUUUAGCAAUAUGCAGGUCCCUUAUCUG